This is a long non-coding RNA of Lolium rigidum, 821 nucleotides long. RefSeq lists it as uncharacterized. Lineage: Eukaryota; Viridiplantae; Streptophyta; Magnoliopsida; Poales; Poaceae. The transcript has 3 exons. The record is from RefSeq and is a predicted model, not a curated record.
AUGUCCCUUUUCUUCAACGUACAGAGAGAACCCAAAACGUCUGCCUCCACCUCGCCAUGGCGCCGCCUGUACCGGCCACCCCUCUUCGAUCUGAGACCACCGUUAGAUGCGCCUCAUCAUCCUCUCCCUCCGUGUGCAAGGAAUCGACCCGAGUCUCCCCGUAUCAGCCACAAAAUCGCCGAUUCCAUCUCCGACCUGCCGGCGAACUUCUUCGAUUGCGGCCGCUCUGGCCCUCCCCUGGCUUCCCCGACUUCUCCAUCAGCUUCACGGUGAUCUCCUCGUUCUCCACGUAUUUUUCCCGGUCUCGUUCCAUCUCUGGUUCGUCCCCCCCGCCGUUGACCACCUCUUUCCGCCGCAGGACCUCAUCGCCGGCGGCUGUCCGGUGAGCCCCUGGCCCCGGAACCACCACCAUCAGUUUCCCCAUGCUGAGGCGCACCCCCGACGCCUACUUCCCCGUCCCGUUUCGCCCAGAAUCGCUGGAUCGAUUCGUCCCUGACCUGCUUCUCCGCCAUGGAUGAACGUGUACAAUUCCUGUGUGUGUGGUCGCUGUGUCUUUUAGCAGUGCUUCACGUCUUUGACAACAACAUCGAUCUAGCACAGUGGCUGGGUCUAUCGUCCUCAACUAGAUUGACCAAGAGCAGGUGGUCUGUCCUAGGGACAUUAAUCCCUGAGGUGCUGGGCUCAAUUCCUGUCCAGAACAUAUUUCUUUUUACCUCAUCCGAACCUCAGAUGGGCCUCAGCCCACCAGUUUGCAAGUCAGCUCCGGCGGCCGCAGCAUUUGCUUCUUCCCGGAUAGGAUCGCGAAGUGUUGACGUGAGAUA